RNAcentral lists this non-coding RNA (96 nucleotides) under Chrysemys picta bellii (western painted turtle). RNAcentral also lists the same sequence under 1 other name. Lineage: Eukaryota; Metazoa; Chordata; Testudines; Emydidae. The record is from RNAcentral.
UACUGUGAUACCAAUAAAUGACCAUGUGAAGUUGAUGGGAGUCUUUCCAUUGACUUCAGUGGGCUUUGGAUCAGGUCCUGUGUUGGUAAGGGGGAA